This 316-nucleotide non-coding RNA is filed under the name Triticum aestivum (bread wheat). Its description in RNAcentral is "rRNA SSU_rRNA_eukarya". It matches the Rfam family "Eukaryotic small subunit ribosomal RNA", at positions 203 to 546 of the family's 1831-position model. The record is from Rfam by way of RNAcentral. Lineage: Eukaryota; Viridiplantae; Streptophyta; Magnoliopsida; Poales; Poaceae.
UUUUUUUUAAAUGUGCCAUGUCAUGCACAUGUAUUUUGUAAAAAAGAAUGUCAGCAUUAAAAAUGCAAUGUGUGUGAUGCCUUGAACGUGAUUAUAAAAACACUAUUGUUACUGACAUGUGGUGACGGGUGACGGAGAAUUAGGGUUCGAUUCCAGAGAGGGAGCCUGAGAAACGGCUACCACAUCCAAAAAAGGCAGCAGGCGCGCAAAUUACCCAAUCCUGACACGGGAAGGUAGUGACAAUAAAUAACAAUACCGGGCGCAUUAGUGUCUGGUAAUUGGAAUGAGUAUAAUCUAAAUCCCUACAUCAUCAUAA